UCCCAAGACUUAGAGUUGCAAAAUUGCUCACUACAAGGACCAGGGCUGGAAUCAGACAGCCCAGUGUGUGGCGGGCCACGGGUACUCUCCCACCUUCCCACUGAAACAGUUGCUUGUGCAUGCCAUGAGGGCGUCAUUCACUGUGUGAUAUGGUUUCAAUUUCCUACUCAGGGAUGGGGCUUUGGUCUGACAUGUCCAGUGGGGCCCUCAUGAAAUGUGUCAAGAAGGACUUUUCUGUAUCAUGGAAGGUGGGCUUAGCAACAUAUGCUGGCUAACUGGAGACCAGAUCUGUGGUCCCCAGUGGCAAAGCCUCUGGAAGUCAGGGCCCUCUUCAUGGUGCCAAAGAUGACCGGGACACACCCCUGCAGAGGCCCUGGCUAGCACGCUCUUUGGCAAUGCCACACUGGCUAGGGGCACACAAUUCCCCCAUAACAUUCAUGCAAGAUGCCAUGUAUGUGUGAAUGACCUCCAGGCCCACUUCCCAGCAGAGUGACUUCUGCCGCCUCUUGAAAAAGAUUCUCUCCUUGACCAAGCUCCUCGGGAGUCUCUUCUCAAUGAGACCCUGACUUUGGAACUUCUGGGUUCAUCUCCGCAUUGUCCAGCUUUAGUAAGAAUCCUAUCCUAAAUCGGUUUAGUAGAAUCCCUGAGCCUAAUCUGAGUCUUCCUCACCAUGCCCCAGGUGGUGCCUACCCAUUCUGGCUGGCCUUCUGCAAGAGCCUUGUUAGGUCCCUUAGCCAGAACUCCCCUUACCCAGGAUCUUUUCUCUUACCAAUUUUCCAUCCACUGACCCCUCCCUCUACUCCUUGGCUAUAAAUUCCCACUUUUCUUCGUUGUAUCUGGAGUUGAGCCCCAUCUCUCCCUCACCGUAAACCCCCCUGAGGUGGUCGCUACACCUCCUCCUGUGGUCCUGACUAAGGUCAUGUAACUGAAUAUGUGUAAUACGGUGUAGCUGAACGGCAUUCCCUGAGUAAGGUCAGCCUGCCUGUUCUUUACCAGUGUCAUGAAUGAAUAAUUUUUUAACACCCUGCGGCUCUGUUCACACAAGUAGCACCACAAAAUUACAAGUCAAGACCCUUGGAAAUCACUGGCAGCUGUCUGAUGUGCAAAUCCCCGGGGGCUGCCCGUCCCUCCCUCCUCUCCUAAAGUGUACCUUUCCAAGGCAUUCCUUUACUCCAUAUAAAUUUGAGCUUCUUGACUUUUCUUUUGAACCAGUUAUAACAUCUGCCUGGUUCCCUCUUUAAUGAGGAAAGUAAAAUCUUUUAACACAUGCUCAUCUUUAUACCUAUAUGAGAGUCAUAAUUUUACCUUAUUUGAAUAUUGUCUUUUAAGGGUGUAACUGAACGACAUUCCCUUUUUCUCCCUGGAACUCAGAAAAGCGAGAAAUGGGUGGUAAAGUAUGGCCUGACAAGAGUGGUUUUCCGGUUUUCAUACCUCUGAAGGAUUUAAAUAACUCAGAAGUCAGACUUCCUAGUGCAAAAUGAAGUUCUCCAAGAGAGAUACAGGAAAUAGACUUUUUGAGAGCAAAGUGAUUUCCAUAGCUGGAACUACAACAAGCACAGAAGUCUCAGAAUAAAUUGCUGGAAGCUUCGAAGAUUUAGAAAUGGAAACUGCACAGGCAAUGAAGGCAACAUUCAAAGAUGAUAGGGACUGUGGCUAGUGGCAGGCGCGGUGCCCUUCCUUCACUGGGUAAACAGUGCCGGAACUUGGUGCAACUGGUUUUCAAUCUCACAGCUGGGAAAGCAGGGCCCUGCUUCUCCAUCAAUGAUUCUGUGAAUGUCAGCAACUCCAAAUAUUUAUUUUUCGGCAAUCAUGCGCAUUUUCCUUAGGGUUUGCGGCCUAUCCAGCAUUCAUCAGAAAGCUAGGCAUGGUCAGUGCAUGUUGGCCAGAAGGCAGCUUACUUUGGCCUUUAGUCCUGCUGUUCUGAGGCCUGGAUAAUAUUUCCCCAUUUACCCGCAGGCCUCACUUCUGAGCACCUUAUUUUAAGUGGGCCUUGAAAACAACAGGUGGCCUUUUCCAUCAGCAAGUAAACCUUAAUUGCAGCACCCAGAGCUAGCAAGGCCUGGGAGGGCCUAUGCUGGGAGCCACAGGCUGUGGCUUUGAACUGGGCGGUCUUCCUUGGCAACACGCACCGGGCUUCCAGGACCCAGCACCUCCUCGCUUAACAGCCAUCCUAAGGUUGUGAUAACCACUUCAGCUGGCUACAGAAAGAAAGCAGGAAGAAAGGUGAAUCGGGAAAAUAAGAGACAGUAGCGAAACGACCAGCAGCUUCCUGACGCCACACAAACUGAACGAAAACACUCAUGACCGCAGAGAUGGAACCUUAUUACUUUAGAUGCUUCUAAUUGGAAAACUAUGCUGGCAAGUCAGUUGCCAUGUCAUGAGUGACACCAUGGAGAGAGGCCCGUGUGGCAAAGAAAGUCCCUAAUCUGCAGCCAUGUGUCUGGGCCAUUGGGGAUAGGGAUCCACCGGGUCCAGGCAAAUUUCAGAUGACUGCAACCCCAGGCAACAUCUUGAUUGGAACCUCUUGGGGGACCAUGUGCCAGACCAUCUGGCUGACCGCUCCCAGAUCCCUGAUCCUCAGAAACUGCAAGAUCUGUAAAGAUGCCCACAUGGUGAAGAACUGAGGCUGCUGGCCAAAGUCAGCAAUGAACCAAAGCUUCUUUCCAACAGCUGUGUGCCAGGGCCAUCUUAGACACAGGCCCUCCAGCCCCAGUCAAGUUUCAGAUGACCGUUGCUCUAGCCAGCAUCCUGAGUGGAACUCCUGAGAGACCCUGAGCCAGACCCCCCCUGACUAAGCCACUCCCAGAUUCCUGACCCUCAGAAACUUUAUGAAAUACUGUUUUUAAAAAGUGUUUAAGUCACUAUGUGCAUUAAUCAUGUGUUUCUGUUGUUUUGCUGUCUGGGGCCUUGCUGACCAUGGAGAGACCAUCCCUUCCAGGCCUCGCUGAUUCCCAGAGAUAGGGCAAACCUUUCUCAUGCAAACCAACCAAUACAGAGCUUAAACCUAACCACCUCCUUCAUUGGUCUUUAACCCAGGGCCCUCACACUCUGGGACCUUAUGGAGCUGCACUAAUCGCCCCAGGCAACUAAAUUCAGCGCCCAUACCCCAAAGCCCACUGAAGUCAUUCAGAUUAUUCUAUCCUCAACCUGCUUUCCCUGCCUUGCCCCGUUGCUUCCCAUGGAAGCCAUGAGAACAUCUCUUUCCCAUUCGUUCCCCAUACUCCACCUCAAAGCCAUCCCCGGUGCUCCUCCAGGUGGCCCGUCGGAGGCAAGGUACGCUCGCUCCUCUUGGAAUGCUCAACAAACGAUCUUUUCAAUGGUAGUCACCUCCUGAUCUUUGGACCUUGCCAUAAUUAAAUAAUAAUAAAACCUACAUUUGAAAUACUAUGGUUUGGGCAACCUGUUGAACAGCACUAGAUAACAAGUACACUUAAAUAUACCUGUGCGUUUCCUUCAUACCACAGUGUCAUUUUCACACCUAGUGACAUUUAAAUUACCUUUAAUAUCAUCUAAUACUAGAUCAUCUGAUAAAUGUCCUCCUUUUCCCUAGCAACACCUUUAUAGCUGGUUUGUUGGAGAACAGGCUCCAAAUAAGGCCACAUAUUGCUUUUGAUGGUAUUUUUCAAAUCUCUUUUCAAGGUAGAAUUUUCAAAAAGGCAAAACCAUGCAUUCCCUAUGAACAUAAAUUAACUAGGUAUCAAAUACUUAAUCAACUCAUGAAUGAGGGAAGCAGCAGUAUGGUUAAACUGGUUAAAAGACACUUUGAGAGACUGAAGCAUUGGAAAAUGACUGCUAAGUUAGAUUUUUAAAACACUGGUUAACAACCUCCAAGGAAAUAAAACUCAUAAUUAAAACAUUUUUGAUUAUCUUUGCAGCCAGACAAAUCAUUUGCAUCUUUACGAGACAUACUUAAUCUCAACUGCUAUCAGAUAAGAAUCAUUUGCAUCAUAACAAUUUUGUACAUGUUAUCCACUUCCCUUGCAGAAUUGUAAACUAUCUUAAUUAAUCUUAAAUGGUCUGGAAUGAAGGUGCACCCCCUAGAAUGUUAGACUGUGCCCCUGAUGAUAUUGAAAGGACAGAACACUGAAUCAUCCAUUUUCUAUUUCCAAGUUUUGAGAUUUUCUUUUUCCUUUAUACUCAUUUAAUCUAGAAUAGAUUAUAGUAAAGUUAUUAUAGGAUGUUGAAAUAAUGCUUUAUUUAUUUAUUCAUUUUAGUAUUGACUUCGAAUUUAAUACAUAGGAUUCCUUUUGAGUAGUCUAAACUAGGGCAUGUGGGCUUGUUUUGAAGGCACAGUCCAGAGGUCUUCACUUGAUUUGACCUCAAACACAAUUCUCCCUCCUUUUCUUCCAAGAGUCAUUUGGUGCCUAACAGAGGUUUCCUGGUGGUUUUCUUUGAAACACUGGGCUGGAAGUUUGAGGGGAGUCUCCUUCCCCACCCUUAUACCUCCCCACCUUCCUUCUAAGACUUUCACUAAAAGUCCUGGAACUUCUGCUUUUUGCAAAGCACAUUGGCUUUCCUCCUUGACAUCAGUUUCUGAUUUGUUCUGCUCCUCCUGUGUGUCUAGAAUGUCUUCAAUGUUGCUUUGUUGCCUGGCUUAGCGGAGGGAGCCCACAAAUAGACCAGGUAUUCCUUUCUGUGUCUCCUUCAGGCAGAGAGUUCCUUGAAGCUAAUGUGGCACCCACUUGCCAGGAAUAUUACAUGAAGGAAGAGCACUUGCUUAAAAGUAGUUCUCCUUUUCCUCUGAGGCAAACCAAGAAUGACAACAGAAUUCCUCAGCCUUGAAUUUGAGCCCAAACUUGAUCACUGGGUUCCUUUACUAAAAGUCUUGUGUUAUAUGGUAGGUCAGCUAUUCGUUCAAAAGUCCUCCCCACGCAGCCUACCUGCAGUAAGAGGAGUGUCCUCCCCCCCUCCACCAAGGCUGGGCUUUAGCCAGAAGGAUGUUAGGUCACAUGAGUCAAGCAGAGGUUUGAAGCUCCCUGGGUGCUGUGCCUGCACUCCCGUGCUUCUGCCAUCACCACGAGAAGAGCUACUCCCAGGAUUUGGGAAGCACUAGCUACAAGUAGACAUUGGUUACCCCUGCUUUUCUCAGAGAAUCCCUCUCCUGAUCCACAGACAUGAACAUCAGCAGCCAUGUUUAGAUCCUGCCCCCCGGGGCCAUGGUGGACCAAACUCGGGUGGACACCUGACCAUUCAAGCUUUGAUUUUGAGGUGGAGAACCUACCUUACUGUUGAAGGAAGUGGGAACAACUCUCGUUUGUUUUUAAGAAAUGAAGUCUAUUUGUAUUGAAAAAUGACUCCAUUCUGUCCCCAUUUAAGGAACAUUUGUAUUAGCUACCUCUUGCUGCAUAACACAUGUCCUUAAAAUCUUUAAGCAACAAUGUACUGCUUCUCAAGCUUCUGCUGGUCUCCCCUGGGUUCAGACAGCUGGUGGAAUUCCUAGGGCUGGAGUCUAAGCAGGCCUCACUCACAUGUCUGGGGUCCUGCUAUGGCUGUCAGCUGGCCUUCUCUCUCCAUGUGGUCCCUGGGUGCUCCAAGAGACGGAAAAUAGAAUUUACAAUACCCCUUAAGGCCGAGUCUCAGAGAGUGCACACUGUCAUUUCUUCUGUAUUCUCUUGGUCAAAGCAAGUUGUGAGGCUAGGCCAGAAUCAAGAGUUGGAGAAAUAGGUCCCACCUCUUGAUUUAGAAAGGAACAGCAAAGUCACAUUGCAAAGGAGUAAAGGACACAAGGGUACUCUUUGUUGGGGAGCCAUGGCUAUCACGAU
Molecule: long non-coding RNA, 5762 nt
Organism: Manis pentadactyla (Chinese pangolin)
Lineage: Eukaryota; Metazoa; Chordata; Mammalia; Pholidota; Manidae
Exons: 6
Source: RefSeq, a predicted model, not a curated record